AGGCGCUGGCGGAGGCGGCAGCCUCCUAGCACCUCUUACAGCUGCCGCCGCAGACGCCAACCCGGGCGGAGGGGGCGCAGGCGUUAGUAGUGCCCACCACCACGUUGCUGUUGCUGGGGACGCUACUGACUCUGGUGGAGACAACAGGGGCAGUAGUGGAGGCGCAGAGAUCGCCACAGACAACGCCACCGCGGGAGCUGCUGACGCCUGCAGGGGAAAGAGACGGAGGCGCGCGUCAGGCGCAGCCGCGACCUGGGUGAGUGGCUUUGCUGCGAGCCCACGCGCCCUUUGCCCAGAGGCUCCCAGACCCGCCCAGCGGGAGGAGGGGACGGACCCCACUACUUACAGACAUUCACCGAGCCGACGCCCUCGCACAGCCUGCAGGGAGAGAAGGCGAGAGGUCAGUGCCGCGGAAAAGGCGCCGGGCCCCCGUGACUGAAGUGGAGGGGGACAUCUGUGGCCCUCCAUCUGGGCACUUGCCCAAGGGAAGGGGCAAGAAAUGCUCUCGGCCAGGAGCCAGUGUAGACUCGGGUCACCGUGAGGGUCUGGAGACAGAAGGCCUGUGAGUGCCUCGCUCUCCACUGCUUCUGAGCUGUGCAACCCCAGCUUGGGCCAACCUCAGCCUAGGCUUCCUCAUCAGGAAAACCUACUUCGUAGAUCUCUUGCGAGGACUGAAUCAAAUAAGAAGCGUCCAGUGCUUAGUGCCUGGCUCAUAGCCCUUAAGAGCUAUUAGCUGCCACUACCUCGAAGUUGGUUCUGACUGAAUUGCAGGUGCAUUUGAGGGGAGCAGAUUUAACUUCUGAAAUCCAGUCUGAUUGGUGUCAUUAGAUUAUAGGCAUCAGGAGGGUAGACAUUUUUGUCUAUUCCUUCCUGCACCACCUAAAAACAAUGCCUGGCUCAAUACAAAACUGUUAGAUAAACAAAUGGGAUUUUAGAACAGGCUCAGAGACUGCCCACCACAGUCCUCUCAUCCGGCAGAUGGAAAGGCUGAGGCCCAGAAGGAGGACAUAUCCAAUGACAAGGCAGGGCUGUCACCCCAGACACUCAUUUCUACCCACCCCACAUUUCCCUCCCAAUAGCUUCCCCUAAGGGAAGAAAAUGGAGUUCCCCUGAAAGCACACUGGCCAAGGAUUGGUUAAAUCAGCUUCAGAUAAGAGAAGCCAUGGCCACCAUCAAAUCAUUCCAUGCCCAGGUUCCCUAGGUAACACAUACCAAAGCUCCUGAGUUCACUCCAAGAGCCCCGUGUGAUGGAGGAGUGGGCCACUCAGAUUCCAAUGCCAUCUCCAUGUGUUUCUCCAACUUCCAAAUUCAGACUUGGAAAACUCCUCCUCCCAGAAUUCUUCACUUAUGAAAUUCCCCAGGCCCAGCCAGACAGACCCCUGCCUCUGAGCUUUCCAAUGGAACAACUCGAGUUUGGUGGAAAUCUCGUCAUAUGGUCACUUUAGUUUCUAGGUCCCAAACCUGUGUUCCCCAUUUCCCAAAUAAACAAGAUGCUCCCUCUGCAUCCCCAACCUUCACCCUCCUCUCCCCAGGGCCAAGGGCCUGACUGUCCACAAAAAAAAAGGAGCUUCGAGUGAGACCAACUGACCAACUAGGGGAAAGAAACCAAGGGCAAAGAAUGAGCUCACAUUCUGGGAGUGUUGUCCUUCUGGGAGCAGGAGCUGUAUAGCUGCCCUCCAGCUGUAUCGCUGGCCUCCAGCCAUAGGAAGGCUGAGUGACCAAUGGGUCUUCUCCACUCCCCCCACCUCUGAAGCAAGCAAACAAGCAAAAAUCCUGAAAGCAAGGCAUAACUGCCCCAAGGGAUAAGUCCUUGCUCUCUGCCUAACUCAUUCCCACCUGCCACAAUGGAAUACCACUUUGGGAUGCUCAUUGGCACUAUAAUAGAAAAGCAUGAGUUGAUAGUGUCAUCUAUCUGAAGCUGUCCUUAUGGGAUACAUCUGAACUCCCAGGUCUAGAUGGGGCCAGGGCCAGACUAGGAAAAAGAGAAGGAAUCCUGAGAAGCACAUGCAGCUACAGCUGGAAGGGAAGAAGCACUACCCAGGCAAGCUGACCCCAAGCCUUAAUUAGGCUUCUCAGUAACAGGAAUACCUGCUGCCAGAUUACUGGAUCUCAACUGAGAUGAACAAGACUGCAAUCUCAGAUCAGUGCCUGGGUGAACAUGAGAGACUCAAACGGGGCUAGAUCAUACUUAAAGGACUUACACAAAUUACCUGUCUGGUUGCAGGGUGGGGAGGUUAAGAAACAAAACUUAAAUGCUGCCAGGAGUGUGAGGACAGAGCACACUGAGAACCCUGGCAGGGCUGGGAAAGGGAAAGGUCUAUGGGACCCACCUCUGCUCCUCGCCCUCCAGCAGGCGCCUGUAGGUGGCGAUCUCGAUGUCCAGCUGGCCCUGGACAUCGAGAUCGCCACCUACAGGAAGCUGGUGGAGGGCGAGGAGGGCAG
This 2442-nucleotide long non-coding RNA is filed under the name Homo sapiens (human). RNAcentral's name for it is "HSALNT0368228". The record is from RNAcentral. Lineage: Eukaryota; Metazoa; Chordata; Mammalia; Primates; Hominidae.